GCAAAUGCACGUACCUCUAUUUUGCGCAGAAAUGAAACAACCAAGAGGCAAGUGAGGGACAAAUUCAACAAACAAAAAGAAGUCAAGAAACACUUCAGUGGGGGAAAGGAUUUCCUUCAGGUGUUUACUGUGAGUUCCAAGGAAUACCAAAAGGAAAAGCAUUUGCAACAAGAAGAGACAGAAAUACCCAAACUUCAGGAAUUUCUCAGAAAUCUCAAUGAUCGUAGUACAAAGACUUCAGAUUAUGUUUCUG
Molecule: long non-coding RNA, 253 nt
Organism: Salvelinus sp. IW2-2015
Lineage: Eukaryota; Metazoa; Chordata; Actinopteri; Salmoniformes; Salmonidae
Source: RefSeq, a predicted model, not a curated record